This 465-nucleotide ribosomal RNA is filed under the name uncultured bacterium. RNAcentral describes it as "bacterial SSU rRNA". It matches the Rfam family "Bacterial small subunit ribosomal RNA", at positions 338 to 795 of the family's 1533-position model. The record is from RNAcentral.
CCUACGGGAGGCACCAGAGGGGAAUAUUGCACAAUGGGCGCAAGCCUGAUGCAGCCAUGCCGCGUGUAUGGAGAAGGCCUUCGGGUUGUAAAGUACUUUCAGCGAGGAGGAAGGCAUUAAGGUUAAUAACCUUGGUGAUUGACGUUACUCGCAGAAGAAGCACCGGCUAACUCCGUGCCAGCAGCCGCGGUAAUACGGAGGGUGCAAGCGUUAAUCGGAAUUACUGGGCGUAAAGCGCACGCAGGCGGUCUGUCAAGUCGGAUGUGAAAUCCCCGGGCUCAACCUGGGAACCGCAUUCGAAACUGGCAGGCUAGAGUCUUGUAGAGGGGGGUAGAAUUCCAGGUGUAGCGGUGAAAUGCGUAGAGAUCUGGAGGAAUACCGGUGGCGAAGGCGGCCCCCUGGACGAAGACUGACGCUCAGGUGCGAAAGCGUGGGGAGCAAACAGGAUUAGAUACCCUUGUAGUC